GGAGAGAUGCCAGAGUGGUUGAAUGGGGCGGUCUCGAAAACCGUUAUACGAGGAUUUGUAUCGAGGGUUCGAAUCCCUCUCUCUCCGCCA
Molecule: transfer RNA, 90 nt
Filed under: Holosporales bacterium
Lineage: Bacteria; Pseudomonadati; Pseudomonadota; Alphaproteobacteria; Holosporales
Description: tRNA-Ser
Rfam family: tRNA
About the family: Transfer RNA (tRNA) molecules are approximately 80 nucleotides in length. Their secondary structure includes four short double-helical elements and three loops (D, anti-codon, and T loops).
Source: RNAcentral